CAAUAGCGUAUAUUAAAGUUGUUGCAGUUAAAAAGCUCGUAGUUGGAUUUCUGGGAGGGCGCCAAUGUCCGCUGUUGCGUGUGCAGCGGCGCCCUUCCAUCCUUCUGUUAACGUUUCUUGGUAUUCAGUUACUGGUUUCGGGCUCAGAUAUUUUACCUUGAGAAAAUUAGAGUGUUUCAGGCAGGCUUGCGCCGGAAUACAUUAGCAUGGAAUAAUAGAAUAGGACUUUAGUCUCUCUUGUUGGUUUAGGGACUGAAGUAAUGAUUAAUAGGGAUAGUUGGGGGCAUUAGUAUUUAAUUGUCAGAGGUAAAAUUCUCGGAUUUGUUAAAGACUAACUUAUGCGAAAGCAUUUGCCAAGGAUGUUUNCAUUAA
Molecule: ribosomal RNA, 372 nt
Filed under: uncultured eukaryote
Lineage: Eukaryota
Description: partial 18S ribosomal RNA
Rfam family: Eukaryotic small subunit ribosomal RNA
Source: RNAcentral